Molecule: ribosomal RNA, 253 nt
Filed under: uncultured bacterium
Lineage: Bacteria
Description: partial 16S ribosomal RNA
Rfam family: Bacterial small subunit ribosomal RNA
Source: RNAcentral
UACGAAGGGCCCAAGCGUUAUCCGGAUUUAUUGGGCUUAAAGGGUGCGUAGGCGGCAUAUUAAGUCAGUGGUGAAAGCCUACAGCUUAACUGUAGAACUGCCAUUGAUACUGAUGUUCUUGAGUAUGAUUGAGGUGGGCGGAAUGUGUCAUGUAGCGGUGAAAUGCUUAGAUAUGACACAGAACACCGAUUGCGAAGGCAGCUCACUAAGCCAUAACUGACGCUGAUGCACGAAAGCGUGGGGAGCAAACAGG